GUCUGAUUAAUUCUGAGAGAAUUCACUUUUUCUUUAUAAUUUCUGAAGAGUGACCAGCCAGCAGUGUUUGUCCGGUCCUUAACAGGAUACCAGGAACCGGGAAAAAACAAGCACUUAGAAAUCAGAAAUCAUCCUUAGCAUUCCUAAUAAGCCUUAACCUUUCCAGUGAUGCAGAGGGCAAUUAUUGCACUUUUUACCCUCCAUGAAAUGCAGGAAAUACAGGUUUAUUUGCCAGUAUGCACAGAAAUCAAGGCAUAUAACUUCUCUUCCAGUAACAAUUUGCUCUAUUGUCCAAAUGUAGCACAUUCCUACCAGCCUUGGCACUGUCUGGGCCCUUGGUGAGGUCUAUGCCUGAAUUUGGUUUCUGCCUCCAGCACUGGUUUGUCCCGUUCCCUUUGGGCUGUUAUUCGACACACUUCUGUCUCUGCUGCUCAGCUGCCUAUAAAACAAGGAUGAGACAUCCUAGGUUUCCCUGGGAUGCUUUCCAAUGAUUGUAAUAACUGAGUUUUGAUGCUGACAUGUAAAUAGAUGGAAGAAUGCUAAAUAUUACUCAAAUGAAGAAUAAUAUUCAUAUAGGUACACCAAGAGGUUCUGGGCUGAAUGGAACUCCAUUUAAAUAAGCAUGUAUUAUUACUUUUCAUUGCUUUGCUUUCUAUAGUGCAAUAAAAAUGGUUUUGCCUCUCUUGUGACA
This 691-nucleotide long non-coding RNA is filed under the name Anser brachyrhynchus (Pink-footed goose). Its description in RNAcentral is "lncRNA (ENSABRG00000000138.1)". Lineage: Eukaryota; Metazoa; Chordata; Aves; Anseriformes; Anatidae. The record is from RNAcentral.